UCAAUCCUAAUGUGUUCGUCUUACUCCACAUAAGUUUUGACCGAACACUUAUAUUGUAGGGAGUCCGGACGUUUCCGUAUUGCGUAAAAGCCUUUGUUAAGGACUUACAAAAUAUAUGGAACAGGACACCCACCUGCCUUGAGCGGGUUCAAAACAAUACGGAGGGACGGCACAAUUGGGAUUGUU
RNAcentral lists this non-coding RNA (186 nucleotides) under Alkalibacillus filiformis. RNAcentral describes it as "6S / SsrS RNA". It matches the Rfam family "6S / SsrS RNA". Rfam says of the family: E. coli 6S RNA was the first non coding RNA to be sequenced, but its function was unknown until recently. It consists of 184 nucleotides that fold into an extended hairpin structure with a large single-stranded internal bulge. The record is from RNAcentral. Lineage: Bacteria; Bacillati; Bacillota; Bacilli; Caryophanales; Bacillaceae.